CGCCUCUUGAUACAAAUAUAAGAGGUCCCGCCUGCCCUGUGACCAAGUUUAACGGCCGCGGUAUUUUAACCGUGCAAAGGUAGCAUAAUAAAUUGUUCUUUAAAUAAGGACCAGUAUGAAUGGCUCCACGAGGGCUCAGCUGUCUCCCCUCUCUAAUCAAUGAAACUGAUCCCCUCGUGAAGAAGCGAGGAUUAAUAUAUAAGACGAGAAGACCCCAUGGAGCUUUAAACUCAUUUCCAAUUACCCAUUACCACACCAAAAGAAUUUAAGUAAAUAUGUUCUAAAUAGUUUUCGGCUGGGGCAACCCCGGAGUAAAAUAAAACCUCCAGAAUGAACAGAGUAAUAUCCUAAUACAAGAACUACAGUUCAAAUAAUCAAAAAAUUGACAUAAUGAUCCAAAUUAUUGAUCAAUGAAAUAAGUUACCCUGGGGAUAACAGCGCAAUCCAUUUCAAGAGUCCCUAUCGACAAAUGGGUUUACGACCUCGAUGUUGGAUCGGGGUAUCCUGGUGGCGCAGCCGCUUCCUAAGGUUCGUUUGUUCAACGAUUAACAACCCC
This 556-nucleotide ribosomal RNA is filed under the name Afrixalus fulvovittatus. RNAcentral's name for it is "partial 16S ribosomal RNA". It matches the Rfam family "Bacterial large subunit ribosomal RNA", at positions 1817 to 2597 of the family's 2925-position model. The record is from RNAcentral. Lineage: Eukaryota; Metazoa; Chordata; Amphibia; Anura; Hyperoliidae.